AUUGUUGAAUGAAGUAAUCUUUGGACCCUAGUGAAAUUAUACAGUGCUAGGUACUUUUAGUAGAUUUGGAGUGUAAUCUAGCCAUUUGAAUUUGAAAAUGUUUAUUUGUAUUCAAAAUCAUUUUGCCUUAUGUUAGGAAACAUCCCUUUUCAUUUUACAGUGUGCACACUCCCCACAAUGCACUUGGACCUGAUAUAGUUACCUUAAAUGAGAUAGGGUUUCAAGAGUGAAGAUCUACAGUGGUAGAAAGAAAUAGGUUCAGGAGGUUUAACAGAAGACUACAGUUGAGGGAAUAUUUCAUUUAAGAGCUAGUACCAACGAAGGCUCCUUGGGUGGCUUUUAACUACAUUUUACUCAGAGCAGACCUAUUGAAAUUGAUGAACACAACUAAGGUGGGUCUACUCUCAGUAAAAUUUAUUUUACUACCAUCCCCAUUCAUUCUCUCUGAAAGUAGCAUCCUUUAGCAGGACUUACAACACAUGCUGGAUGAGGUAUGAUUUAGGAAAGAAACUCUCCAGAUUAAUUUCUGCAAAAGGGUUA
Long non-coding RNA from Podarcis raffonei (Aeolian wall lizard), 540 nucleotides. RefSeq lists it as uncharacterized. The record is from RefSeq and is a predicted model, not a curated record. The transcript has 3 exons. NCBI's taxonomy places the organism in Eukaryota, Metazoa, Chordata, Lepidosauria, Squamata, Lacertidae.